AAAUGAAAGAAGGAUCUGUCAUGGAAGCUGAAGGAACAGAACAGAGACGGCGUGGUCGCCACGCCUGUAAUCCCAGCACUUUGGGAGGCUGAGGCGGGCCGAUCAUGAGGUCAGAGUUUGAGACCAGUCUGGCCAACAUGGUGAAAUCCCGUCUCUACUAAAGAUACAAAAAAUUAGCUGGCACGUGCCUGUAAUCCCAGCUACUCAGGAGGCUGAGGUAGGAGAAUCGCUUGAACCCGGGAAGCGGAGGUUGCAGUGAGCCGAGAUUGCGUCACUGCACUCCAGCCUGGGUGACAGGGCGAGAAUCCGUCUCAAAAAAGUAAAAAGGACAGAACAGAAACUGAACAGGAACAGAAGCUGAAAAGUCACGAGGCAGAGUGUGACGGUUGGAGCCACCUCAAAAGUCUUAUGCAAGCUGCUAUUUAGAUGAGCAGAAACGACGAGUUAGAGAUGAAGCUGAUAGUUCGCAGAGAAGGGAGUGAAACAGUCCCAAAAUAGACACAAGGUGUGACAAAAAAGAAGAGGGAGAAGACCGUCACUAGAGCUACUUCAUAUUCUGAGAACUUCCCUUUCCAGUUCCAGAGACUUUACCAUUAAACCCCUUUAAUUUACACUGGCCUAUGUCCUUUGCUGUCAGUUCACUGCCUUACCUCUCUAAAACAUGUAGAUAGGAUUCACCCACUUCACAGAUAGAGAAACUGAAACCCAGAAACAUUCAAGAUCACACAGCCAUUGAGUGGCACAACCGAGCCUGGAGUGCAGAGCAUAUAGGAUGCCUGAGCCCUUUCUUUCAUAUCUUCUUUGAAAGGUUGUCCCUCUUUGAUAUGUCCCACUAGUUAGCAUCCUCACCACCAUCCCUUCCAGGGACUUGUUUCUUGGAGGCUGCCACGAAGUUUGUUUUAGCGACAAACCUGUCCUUGACAGAUGACUUUGCCUUGGGAUGCCAUCUCCCCGAUGGAAUUCUUUGAUUCCACCCCUUCCUCAAGCUGAGUUAAUUGCCAAGACUGUGGGGGAAAUUACACCACCUCCUCGGUUCACCCAGCAGGACACCAAUCCUUAACAAGGCAACUUUCUGACAAAGUAUGUUAGAUGCCCUCAGACAAAACUUUCCUAGCAGGGGAUUGGAGAAGGAGAAAAAUUAAAGGCAGAAUAGAAAGUGGUGGGGGAGAGAGAGAGAGAUUUCUUUCCAUUGAUCUCUUUGCCAAUGAGAAGUCUUUAAAAAUCACUUUUUAGCUGUAGCCCUCAGAUGCAUGAGCUGCUAUGCUGACAGAAGAGGGAAAAAAAUCAAACUCUGAAUCAGAUCAAACUGUGAUCUUUCAUUCUGAACAGGCAGCCAUCUUGGCAAAUGGAAAAUUAGAAAUUCAAACAAAAGGAAGAGGGAAUAUCUGAGGUAGAGUUGGCCUUGGGCAAAAAUUGUGAGGUUGGUAAGUCUGACUUCAGAACUCGACAGUGCCCCAUCCUCUCCCUGCUUCCCGCCCUAGGCAGAUUCUACCUUGAGUUAGGUGAGGAAAAGAGAAGCAUGGCUUUGCCUCCCUCCCAGCUUCUCCUCCUAAUUCCUGGUGGACCUUUUUUGACUUGUCUUAUUCAGUCUUGGUGUUAUAUGUCCUAUUACUGUUUUGUACUGACAGCAACUGCCUAGAAGGGGCUAACUGAUAGUUAAAACAGUUAAUUAAAUAAUAAAUGAAAUCUAAGCUGUAGAUAUACCCUCCUCACCAUGGAUAUUUGAGAUUUGAAAGAGAGAGCUUCAGAAGUGCCCAAAUUCUUCAAGGCAUAAAGACUGUUUAAUGGAGGAAUAGCAGAUAGUGCAGUGAUUGAGGGGUGUGGUGGAUGCCACCGCAUGCUGCCAAGACCCCCUGCUUAGAGACGAAAGACUUAUUAUCCUAACUUCUGGAGUACUUUUGGAAAAGUGUCCUCUGCAAUCAGCCCCUUCUUGCUUCAGCUGAAGAGAGCUAUCUCAUCCAAGCUACCUCAUCCAAGGUCAUGCCCCCAUCUCUGGGCAGCCUGCAUCCAACUACUAAUUAACAGAGGGUAUACAGACCCAGCGUUUUUGCUGAGACAACUUCAGUGACAAGUAUGAAGGAUCACCGCAUUUUCAGAACUCCCCAUAACUUUGGCUGAGGUUUCUGUUGAGACUACAUUGCAGCUGAUUUUCUUUUUUCAAUCCUGCUUCCUUCCCUUCCCCCAAGUAUAUGGUCAACCACCCAGAUAUUUCUCAACCUGCCUCCCAGUGAGGUGCCAUGUAACUACAUUCUGGCCAAUGACAUAUCCUUCCACAGAAUUUGGAGCUGUAGCAGGCAGAUCAAGAUAGGAGGUUCCAAGGUCACACAGGAGGAUCUUCUUGUAUCCAAGUUGUGAGGAUGAUAUGGAGGGGCCAUGACACUCAUGGAACACAAACCAUCUAUUUGUCUACCACAAAAUGCACCCAAGUGUCUCAAAGUGCCCUUCUGGUUACAAAAUGAGACACUGCUUCAGGACCUUGGAGAGCGCCCUUCCAGGUUAACACAAGGUCAAUAUCUCCAGGACCUCCCUGAGAUCCACGGGAUGGCAUUUUCUCUUCUUGACAUUAGCCAGAAAAAAACAAAACAAAAAAACAAAAUUAAGCAAACAAUAUGGGCUGGCGUGAGAAAAUAAUUUAUUUCACUUGAAAUAUGGCAAUCUUCCUCAGAGGGAGUUUGGAGGAAAAUGUUUAUAUUUAGCAAGAUUAAGACAAUAAUAAUUCACUAAGUACUUGCUAUAUGCCAGAAAUGUAAGACAUUGUUGUCAUUUUAUGUAUGCAAAAGCAGAGGAUUAAUAAGCUACCAUAUAAUACACUUCCUAAAUGCCAGACACUCUGCUAAGAUAUAUAUACAGAUAUACUCCAUAUCUACAAAUGUAGUGCUACAAUAAAUCUCUUCACCACAAUCCUAUGAUGUUACACUGACAUACUUUGCUAUGUGGAUCUAUUCAGUUCCUGACUUUGAAGAAAAAUGAUUUAGACAGUGAAAGAUACUUAUAUUAUUGGCCCCAUUUUAUGUGAAGAAAUUGAGGCAGGUAGUACAUAGCUCUGAAUAGCAGUAACAGAAUUCAGUUGAGGCAAUCUAGUCAUAACUAAGGUGACUAUUUAAUUUACUGUGCAAAAAUGGCAUUCUUCUAGACAACCCACAGAUUAGGAGAAAAUGUUCGCAAACUAUCCAUCUGACAAGGGAUUAAUAACCAGAAUAUAUAAGGAGCUCAAAUAAUAGCAAAAAAAA
Molecule: long non-coding RNA, 3230 nt
Filed under: Homo sapiens (human)
Lineage: Eukaryota; Metazoa; Chordata; Mammalia; Primates; Hominidae
Description: long independently transcribed non-coding RNA 2460 (LINC02460)
Source: RNAcentral